GGCUUUUCUAGACUGCAGAGGGCGUUGGCUCGAGGGGUGCUUCACCCGACGUAGAGUCGGAAUUCAUCAUCAUGAUACGAUCAGAAAGUCUGCGGAUGCAGGCUUGUCUUCGCUGCACGGCACGCUGGAGAAACUUGGUUGUUAGGAUGAAUUCUGGGAGCCGCCUCUCUCCUUCGUGCUCCUGCAAGGAAUGCGUUGUUGUUGGUUGGCAAUGCGGGUUUGUGGUUGACACCCACCCACAGUGGGUAGGCGCAGAAAGCGCACUGUGCCCGUGUACGCAUCCGCUUCGCUGGACCUGCUGCCUAGAAGGUAGCAUGUGAGUUUGUUCGCCACUCAUGAGCGCUGAGACUCGGUUAGCGGACCAUCAGUUGCCAGUGCUACACUCAAAGUGAUUGUCCGGCCUUCGCCUAUCACGGUGAUGCCCAGCUGCUGGUGUCCUUCAAGCAGCUCGCUGCGCUCCUGCUUCCAGCGCGGGCACUGUAAGCCUAACUAUGUCAGCGUGUCGGGGAUCUCGUUUCCACAGCAGGGACAGUGUGAUUCCCAGAGUGAUUCCAGUGUUCCUAUGCGGCUUAGAGCCGGUGCUGCUAGUCAGAAGCCACCAACGCGGAUUUUCGCGAGCCACUGAGUACCUCGAGCAAGUCCCGGGAAUUCCAGCGCCUCCCACCAGUACUUGCAUGUGUAUGCGAGGUUGUAGUUCCGGUAUAGAGUCAAGCCAGCGUCUCGACGCUUGCGCUUAUCCGCGUCUGCUGUAGACCACGGAUGCGAUUUCUGGACACAAAAUUAUGGCUUGGAGGCAAGUGCUCUAGCUUUGGACAUGGCUAUGUACGCACAGACGCCGCCCCUUGUCAUGAAUUGCAGGAUUCUUUGUGUUCCGGGUAAGCGCGAUCCUCACCAUAACGUACCGGUCACUCCACUCCCGGGUUCAGCGGUAUCUGCAAUGACGCGGAUACCGGGACAGCACGCUGCACAACAAUGCGACGCAUCGCUGUUGGUAUCUGUCGACAGCCAGUGCUGCGCAUGCACUACUUGUAUGAGCGCUCGCAAAAUGAAAGCCACCCCCUGCGUCAGCCGGAUACGGCCACGGGAUGUACUGUUUAGGAAAAGAGGUCGUUCGUAUCCGGUUAUGGUUCUCCAUCCGAUCUGGGUCGCGAUCGCAGCUUCCAGAAUUCCGCGCCCUACAAAGCUAUGAUGUCCUGGAAUCGCUGGAAUGAAUUUCGUCAAUUGGCUCCACAGCACAAAACCAAUCGUUUUUUUCAGCAUCCCGCAGCACGAUCGAACCAUUCGAAGAUACCGUACAGAUACACCUGUCUGGUGCCGAACGUGUCCGAGACGUUACGCCUCAGACCAGUGCGUAGAGUACUGUGAGGUUUUCGAGUGCGGCCCUCAUGCCUGGCGGGAUCGACUCAUGAUGCGAGACGUCAGAAUACGUCCAUACCGAACUCAGCACUGACAGCGUGAUCAGCAGCGCGACCCAGAAGCGCCAAUCACGAGAAACCUCUCUCCAGGUAGGUGUUCUCGCUCUAAACUGCGACCAUAGUUGGCGCACUCGGGCAGAGCUGCGUGUCCAGACGGUUGGCGCCGGCCGUUCCCGGGGCAGCUGGCUCCAGUCGAUUUUUCCCUCACUCACGAACGCCUUCCAUUCUUCGUUCCAGUCGAUCAAGCUUUUUGGUACUUGAUGUUGUGGAUUGCGCUGUGGUAUGCUUCCGCCGGUAUUGCCGGUUUUAUCGGCAGGCGCACCGCCUGCGUUCGAGUUGUCCUCGGACUCGUGCCGCGCUCUAUCCGGCUGUCCAGCCAGGCACGUGAGCAGUCGUCUUCGUUCUUGCACACCGUGACAGGCGACUCUGCGGGGCAACGCAAAGCGUGCUCCAGACGUUGAGCGAGUAGCGCUGCGGUUGCGGGCCCGCUGCGCCAGCGCAGGCGCUGGUGGUGAAGGGCGCGCGACCAGGAACCGCACGCUCGAGCUCGCUCCCGUCGUAAACGCAACCGAGCGC
RNAcentral lists this unclassified non-coding RNA (1991 nucleotides) under Cyanidioschyzon merolae strain 10D. Its description in RNAcentral is "hypothetical transcript". The record is from RNAcentral. Lineage: Eukaryota; Rhodophyta; Bangiophyceae; Cyanidiales; Cyanidiaceae.